Molecule: long non-coding RNA, 324 nt
Filed under: Micromonas commoda
Lineage: Eukaryota; Viridiplantae; Chlorophyta; Mamiellophyceae; Mamiellales; Mamiellaceae
Description: long non-coding RNA (MCOM_LNC000025)
Source: RNAcentral
AAGGCCGGCUUUCUCAAGAAGAGAUAGAGAGGAUGGUCGAAGAAGCUGAAGAGUUUGCUGAGGAGGAUCGGAAAAUCAAGGAGCGCGUUGACACCCGAAACAGCCUCGAGACAUACGCCUACAACAUGAAGAACACGGUGACAGAUGACGACAAGCUGGCAAGCAAGCUCGCAGAUGACGACAAAAGGCAAAUUGAAGAGGCCGUCAAAGAAACUCUUGAUUGGCUAGACGAUAACCAAAACGCUGAGAAAGAAGAGUACGAAGAGAAGCUGAAGGACAUAGAGUCAGUUUGCAAUCCAAUAGUUUCCAGAGUCUAUCAGCAAG